Molecule: long non-coding RNA, 3869 nt
Organism: Oncorhynchus keta (chum salmon)
Lineage: Eukaryota; Metazoa; Chordata; Actinopteri; Salmoniformes; Salmonidae
Exons: 6
Source: RefSeq, a predicted model, not a curated record
AUAGGUUUGUGUCAGUCUGAGUUGGCAGGUUAAUUCACAGUUACAGGUUAAUACUACGCUGUAUGCCAAUCAAACCAUGACGAGUGUCUUCAGGUUCCCUGGAAUUACACUGCCACCAUGACCACAGCUCCAUGUGUUGCUGUAUUGCUGUGCCUGCAGAAAAGGAAAGGUGGGGCCUUCCUCUCCGUCAGAGCUCUCUACUAUACAGUAGACUUUAGACCCCGAUAAAGAUGUUUCUGUGAGCCUGUUGAAUUCCCCUAAGAGCUACACUAUAUAUACAAAAGUCUAUGGACACACCUUCAAAUUAGUGGAUUCAACCGCGAAGUGGUAGGCCACACGAGCUCACAGAACAGGACCGCUGAGUGCUGAAGCGCGUAGUGCAUAAAAAACGUCUGUCCUCGGUUGCAGCACUCACUACGGGGGCAAUGGAAGCAAUGUCAGCACAAUAACUGUUCGUCGGGAGCUCAAUGAAAUGGAUUUCCAUAGCCGAGCAGCCACACACAAGACUAAGAUCGCAAUGCGCAAUGUCAAGCGUCGGCUGGUGUAGUGUAAAUCUCGCCACCAUUGGACUCUGGAGCAGUGGAAAUGCGUUCUCUAGAGUGAUGGAUCACGCUUCACCAUCUGGCAGUCCAAUGGACAAAUCUGGGUUUGUUGAAUGCCAGGAGAACACUACCUGCACAAAUUCAUAGUGCCAACUGUAACGUUUGGUUGGGGAGGAAUAAUGGUCUGGGGGUGUUUUCAUAGGUUGGGCUAGGCCCCUUAGUUCCAGUGAAGAGAACAUCUGAACGCUACAGCAUACACUGACAUUCUAGACGAUUCUGUGCUUCCAACUUUGUGGCAACAAUUUGGGGAAGGCCCUUUCCGGUUUCAGCAUGACAAUUUCCCCGUGCACAAAGCCAGGUACAUACAGAAAUUGUCAAAGAUCGGUGUGGAAGAAUUUGACUGGCCUACACAGAGCCAUGACCUUAUGCUAGAUGUUUUUCUAAGGCGUCUUUUCCAUCUGUUUGACCAGAAAUCAAAGCCUUUGCUUAUUCUUUUUUUUAGGGUGGAAAAUGGUAGAAACUUUACUUUACUGUACUGUGCUCUACUGUGCUGUCCAAACUUGUGAAACAUGAUUGGUCCAGAUUUGGUCCGUUCCAGACUGGACUGGACGUUGAAAUCAAGGCCAGGGUGGACUGACCAAAUUUCAACUACUUUUCGACUUCCAUGGACAUCCUGUGUCGGUCAGUGCUCAGUGGCAAGAUGGCCAUGGACGACUUCUAAUAUAUGGACAGCUUCAAGAGAAAGCGCAUCAAAUUGACCCUCAAGACUGCGACUUUCCUGUAUUGUUCAGCGGAUCAAUGCCAAUAAAACUGUGAUUUUAGAGGAAGGUAAGAAAAAAUGAAUGCACAUUAUCUUGCAAAGAGUUGUUGCUCAGUGUUUCACAUGCUCAUGUAUUUGCUCUAAAUCUGCACAGUAGCUGAUCACGAUCAGCUCAGCUAAUUUGACAGCUAGCUGGCUACUAGUAGCUAGCUAAUUGUAGUAGCUACUGGUAGCCGGCAGAAGCUACAUCCUGGUCGUCAAUAGUUACCACAGCCACAAAGUCAUAAACUCCGCCUAUUUCAAACAGGUAUCUUCUUAUAAUGUGAUUUUAAACCGAACCGUAACCCCAAUUUUAACCACACUGCUAGCUUUAUGCCUAACCCUGACCUUAAAAUUAAGACCAAAAAGCACAUUUUUAGGAUAUAGCCAAUUUGGACGUUGUGGUUGUGGUAACUAUUGAUUACCCUGCGUCCUGGUAAUCUAUUCAUGUGUGCCAGUUACUGCCCUGUGCUGCCAGUGUGUAUUGCAUAAAUUAGUAAUCUGCAAUGUAUGCAUCUAAUCUGUUUCAGUUGUGGAUAAGAAUGGAAGGAAUUAAAGUUUUGUUUGGACAUGAGAUUCUGAAUGGUAUCUGCACUGGCCGUGCUGCUACUCCAAUUUAAUCUGUUCUGCCUGUGGCUAUGGAAUCCUGACCUGUUCUCCGGACAUGCUACCUGUCCCAGACCUAUUAUUUGACUGUGGCAGAGUUUCAGCCAUACAGGAAGAAUCUCCUACUGAGUUAAUAACCUCAUGUUUUAUACUCUAUUGUACACAUUUAGCUAACUGAAGCCAAAGGUUUGCAUCAUUAGCUUUUUUCAUUAGGUAGCUAGCAAUAUGAUCGAUGUAGCUCAACAAAUAGAUGUCUCCCUUCCUCAGAUGAUAAUGAAAUUGAUGAGAGCCAUGUCAACAUUGUGGUCAUUGAUGAGCUCCAUGAGAAGCUUCUGUAAUGAGUCUAAGGAGGUGUGUGCCCUUUGUCCUGUGGGUGUACGGAGUGAUCUCUAGUACCUUGCUUGGUCAUGCUCUCUCCACCUAGAUGAUGCACAUCCGGAAGCAGCAGGUGAUCGAGAUAGGAGCAGACGGGGUUGGGACGUUCCAGCACGAGAGAGUCUGUUGGCUGCAGAUUGCCACUAAGAACAAGGUGUACCUCUUUGACAUCCUGAUGCUUGAAGCCCGGGCCUUCAAGAACAGCCUGUCCAUGAUCCUGGAAACCACAUUUUAAAGGUCACCUAUAGCUGCCAGAGAAUUGCCGAAUGUCUGAGGGCUCAGUUUGGAGUGAAUCUCACCAAUGUCUUUGACACGCAGGUGGCAGAUAUCCUGUGCUUCUAUACAGAGACAGGUGGCUUCCUGCUAGGAGGUGGUGAACCUACAUCUGAAGAUGCCCUCAUCACGACUCUCCUCUCUCAAGAUCAAGUCUCUGCUCACCAAGAGCAGUGUUCUGGAGCUGCCUAGGGAGCUGCGGGAGUUGAAGCACAUGCGGCAGGAGUGGACCAUCGACCGUUACCCUGUCUCUGAGCAGGGCCUGCUGGAGCGCUCCAACCCCAGACCCCUACCCCCAUCACAGGAUGGGCAGGGCCAGAACAUAGCCACCCAAAGACAACCUGACCCCCCUGUCCCCACAGCAGAGGAGGCUGUAGUCCCAGGACCAGUACCAGGGCUUCAGGCCCCAGCAGAGCAGAGACCCCCUGUCCCAGCAAUACCCCGUGGGCAUCUGACCUCCAUGCUAUGCCCAGUGACCUGACCCCAGAGGUCAAGCAGAGCUCCAGGAAACAGCCAUCUGGAGAUGUCAGCCCUGCGGCUCCAUCAGGAUCAGGAGAACCAGGACUCAUGGAGAUAGUGAUGGUCACAAUGGCAGGCAGAGGGAGGUCUCUGAUGAAAGAUGCAGCACCACCAACCCUCCCUGCCUUCCCUCCCUGCCUUCCUCUUCCUGGGAAGAGGCCUGGUUUUCCCGAUACCAGCGGCCCAGGUCCCUAAGGAGAGCCCCAGGGUUCUAAAGACCCAGGCCCCAGUGGGGAGGGUAGAGGUGCCUGUCCACCCAGGCCCAAGACUCAGCCCAGUACAGUGAGCUGUACCCCAGCAGGCUGCCCUUUGUCCUGCCAUGCCUGAAAACAUCCCUUGGCCAGAGAGAGGCCUCUUCAUCCAGAAACCUCAAGGUCUCACCUCUCCUCUCAGUCUCUCCCUCAUUUCCUUUAGAAAGACUUAAGAGUACCACCUAUGGUUGUGAAGGGUUGGUUGAAAAUUACUUGUGUAAUUGUUUAUUCUACAAAGACCACUAGAUGGCAGUAAAUUGUCCAUUUUGUUUGCAAAUGUAAAUUGCAUCAAUGUUUGGGGGGAAACGGUCAUGUUUCAGUUAAAUGGUUUUCUAUUUCAAAUGGAAAAACAACAGUAGAUUCACAUCAAAUUAAAAUCAGAUGAGAGAUCAUUUGAUAAUUCUGUAUCAUGGCGACUAGUUUACCAUGUGUACAUGGCUUAAUUUGAGUACAUUUUUUUGUUUAUUCAAAUUGCUGUUCACACUUGUUACAAAUGUAAAUUAA